This 68-nucleotide small RNA is filed under the name Chryseobacterium scophthalmum. Its description in RNAcentral is "Flavo-1 RNA". It matches the Rfam family "Flavo-1 RNA". The record is from RNAcentral. Lineage: Bacteria; Pseudomonadati; Bacteroidota; Flavobacteriia; Flavobacteriales; Weeksellaceae.
UCUUAGCCCCGAUUGUAGUGAAAAUCCUUUUUUGAAAAAAAAGAUUGCAACGGAAAGCGGGAAUUGCU